UCGUGCUAGGCGGGGAGUUAGCGGUGCCCUGAACCCGAAAUCCGCUAUAGCGGGGCUGAAUUCCCGCUUGAGAUCUUCAGUCUCCUGGUGCCGUCCUCAUUAAGCGGUGUUGAAGGCUGGGUCCUGCGCGGCAGAGAGCUAUGAACCCCGUCAGAUCCGGAAGGAAGCAGCGGUAAGUAGCCACCUCUGGGUGCCGCAGGGUUGCCUGGUCUGAGCUGGCUGAUGUGGGCGAGCCAGGGGGCGAGAGCGAGAGCGGGUGCACGA
RNAcentral lists this signal recognition particle RNA (264 nucleotides) under Dehalococcoidia bacterium. Its description in RNAcentral is "signal recognition particle sRNA large type". It matches the Rfam family "Bacterial large signal recognition particle RNA". From Rfam's summary of the family: The signal recognition particle (SRP) is a universally conserved ribonucleoprotein involved in the co-translational targeting of proteins to membranes. Archaeal SRP consists of a 7S RNA and homologues of the eukaryotic SRP19 and SRP54 proteins. The record is from RNAcentral. Lineage: Bacteria; Bacillati; Chloroflexota; Dehalococcoidia.